UCAUGAGGAGCCUGCCUGUUACGCGAAUGCAGUAAGAAGCAAAGGUCAGGUGUGAAGCAUGGGAACGCGGAUGCCCUAUCAAGAAGGGAGAUGUACAUCGCACUGACGACCGGAAGGGGCGUACCGUAGACCAGCCACUAGGGGGAGACUCGAGGCCUGGUGGUGACAGACCUUCUACAUCACGCUGCGGUGGCUCCCUCUGCUGGACGUGCCAGGUCUCGUCGGGGCCUCCGGCCAGGACUAAUUGGGGAUGAUUGCUCACCAGCUGUAAGGGGCCCAUAAAGCUGCCAGGAGGGCAGCACACGGGAGGGUUGGAGGUAGUAACAGGUUGCUACCGGACAGACGUCCUCAUGUUCUGCUAGAACCGAGGGGCUUGGCGUUCUACCCCAGAGGAAACCGGGUUAUUUUUCUUUGUUUUAAAUAAACACCCUUGAAACUGU
Oncorhynchus tshawytscha (Chinook salmon) is the source of this 440-nucleotide long non-coding RNA. RefSeq lists it as uncharacterized. Lineage: Eukaryota; Metazoa; Chordata; Actinopteri; Salmoniformes; Salmonidae. The transcript has 2 exons. The record is from RefSeq and is a predicted model, not a curated record.